RNAcentral lists this ribosomal RNA (432 nucleotides) under uncultured bacterium. RNAcentral describes it as "partial 16S ribosomal RNA". It matches the Rfam family "Bacterial small subunit ribosomal RNA", at positions 29 to 506 of the family's 1533-position model. The record is from RNAcentral.
AGCGAACGCUGGCGGCAGGCUUAACACAUGCAAGUCGAGCGGGCCCUUCGGGGCCAGCGGCAGACGGGUGAGUAACACGUGGGAACGUACCCUUUGGUUCGGAAUAACGCUGGGAAACUAGCGCUAAUACCGGAUACGCCCUUUUGGGGAAAGGCUUGCUGCCGAAGGAUCGGCCCGCGUCUGAUUAGCUAGUUGGUGGGGUAAUGGCCUACCAAGGCGACGAUCAGUAGCUGGUCUGAGAGGAUGAUCAGCCACACUGGGACUGAGACACGGCCCAGACUCCUACGGGAGGCAGCAGUGGGGAAUAUUGGACAAUGGGCGCAAGCCUGAUCCAGCCAUGCCGCGUGAGUGAUGAAGGCCUUAGGGUUGUAAAGCUCUUUUGUCCGGGACGAUAAUGACGGUACCGGAAGAAUAAGCCUCGGCUAACUUCGU